This is a long non-coding RNA of Beta vulgaris subsp. vulgaris (sugar beet), 860 nucleotides long. RefSeq lists it as uncharacterized. The transcript has 2 exons. Lineage: Eukaryota; Viridiplantae; Streptophyta; Magnoliopsida; Caryophyllales; Amaranthaceae. The record is from RefSeq and is a predicted model, not a curated record.
UACAGUACAUAUGAAUGCACAGUUUAAGAAGUUUUUAGGAGAAACAUUGCUUACAAAAUGUUGGUUGUUGUUCUUAGCUGAUUUUGGCUUUUUGAUUGGUUUUAUUGAGUAUAAUAUGUAAAAUUCAAAUAUUUAAUUAAAAGUGUUGUAAAUUUGAGUAUAUACUAUGGAAAAAUGCACUAGCAUGCUGUUUUUUUGUCCUUUAAUAUGAGAAGGUCAUUGUGCUCAGAUCAAUUCGAGGUUCCAAUUGUGUAGAGAUUCUAUAGUAGCCAAGGGGUGAGGAAUUGUGUCAUUGUUCCAAAUCAAUAUCGACUCCAUAUAACACAAAGAAACUAAGGUCUACAAGGGUGAUAUAGUUGAUUGGAUGUAUCCCGAAGCUUUGUACAAGUUGGUUUCCCUUCAAUCAAUAGAAGCCUGCAAUUACAAUGACACCAAUCUUAUAGGUACAUUGUGCAACAAAUUUUAUAACAAAUCAAUUAGACAUACUAUUUUCCCUCUAACGUGUUGAUUCUUAAAAUAUAUAUUGUAGAUAUUUUGGGGAUUGUUGUACAUGUAGGUAAGGCUUUUGUUUGUAACGAUGACGCAACCCGUAUGCAAGAGGUUGUUGUUCUAGAUAGAAGUUGCGUUGCUGUUAGAUUGAUCCUUAUGAACCAAUUUGUUAGUGAAUAUGAAAACGAGGUUCAACAAAGUGUUGGGCAGUAUAACACACUAUUGGCUUGUGGGGUGUAUGUUAGGAAAAUGAAUGGUGCGAUUUGUACGCAAAUUAAAACAAUUUUCUUAAAAGUGAUAAUAAUGGUUUUCUUAAAAGUAAUAAUAUUAAUUAUGUUUUGUAAUAUUUAUAGAUGAGGUUUUAAUUUAAA